GGGCCAGCACUGACCCUGCUGUUCUCCCUGCAGAAAAGCAGAGGCGCCGCGGGCGACCCGGGAUGAGAAGCGUCGGGCACAGCACAACGAAGUGGAGCGCCGGCGCCGGGACAAAAUCAACAACUGGAUCGUGCAGCUCUCCAAGAUCAUCCCCGACUGCUCCAUGGAGAACACCAAGUCGGGGCAG
Molecule: non-coding RNA, 187 nt
Organism: Meleagris gallopavo (turkey)
Lineage: Eukaryota; Metazoa; Chordata; Aves; Galliformes; Phasianidae
Source: RefSeq, a predicted model, not a curated record